RNAcentral lists this ribosomal RNA (302 nucleotides) under uncultured bacterium. RNAcentral describes it as "partial 16S ribosomal RNA". It matches the Rfam family "Bacterial small subunit ribosomal RNA", at positions 508 to 809 of the family's 1533-position model. The record is from RNAcentral.
GCAGUCGCCGCGGUAAUACGAAGGGUGCAAGCGUUAAUCGGAAUUACUGGGCGUAAAGCGUGCGUAGGCGGUUUGUUAAGUCUGCUGUGAAAUCCCCGGGCUCAACCUGGGAAUGGCAGUGGAUACUGGCAAGCUAGAGUGUGUCAGAGGAUGGUGGAAUUCCCGGUGUAGCGGUGAAAUGCGUAGAGAUCUGGAGGAACAUCAGUGGCGAAGGCGGCCAUCUGGGACAACACUGACGCUGAGGCACGAAAGCGUGGGGAGCAAACAGGAUUAGAUACCCCGGUAGUCCCUGUCUCUUAUAA